AUGCACGCUGGCGGCGUGCCUCAUACAUGCAAGUCGAGCGAACAGACGAGGAGCUUGCUCCUUUGACGUUAGCGGCGGACGGGUGAGUAACACGUGGAUAACCUACCUAUAAGACUGGGAUAACUUCGGGAAACCGGAGCUAAUACCGGAUAACAUGUUGAACCGCAUGGUUCAACAGUGAAAGACGGUCUUGCUGUCACUUAUAGAUGGAUCCGCGCCGCAUUAGCUAGUUGGUAAGGUAACGGCUUACCAAGGCAACGAUGCGUAGCCGACCUGAGAGGGUGAUCGGCCACACUGGAACUGAGACACGGUCCAGACUCCUACGGGAGGCAGCAGUAGGGAAUCUUCCGCAAUGGGCGAAAGCCUGACGGAGCAACGCCGCGUGAGUGAAGAAGGUCUUCGGAUCGUAAAACUCUGUUAUUAGGGAAGAACAAAUGUGUAAGUAACCAUGCACGUCUUGACGGUACCUAAUCAGAAAGCCACGGCUAACUACGUG
This 496-nucleotide ribosomal RNA is filed under the name uncultured bacterium. Its description in RNAcentral is "partial 16S ribosomal RNA". It matches the Rfam family "Bacterial small subunit ribosomal RNA", at positions 29 to 507 of the family's 1533-position model. The record is from RNAcentral.